CCUACGGGGAGCAGCAGUGGGGAAUAUUGGACAAUGGGCGAAAGCCUGAUCCAGCCAUGCCGCGUGUGUGAAGAAGGCCUUCGGGUUGUAAAGCACUUUCAGUGGGGAAGAAAGCCUUGGGGCUAAUACCCUCGAGGAAGGACAUCACCCACAGAAGAAGCACCGGCUAACUCCGUGCCAGCAGCCGCGGUAAUACGGAGGGUGCGAGCGUUAAUCGGAAUUACUGGGCGUAAAGCGCGCGUAGGCGGUCUGAUAAGCCGGUUGUGAAAGCCCCGGGCUCAACCUGGGAACGGCAUCCGGAACUGUCAGGCUAGAGUGCAGGAGAGGAAGGUAGAAUUCCCGGUGUAGCGGUGAAAUGCGUAGAGAUCGGGAGGAAUACCAGUGGCGAAGGCGGCCUUCUGGACUGACACUGACGCUGAGGUGUGAAAGCGUGGGUAGCAAACAGGAUUAGAUACCCUUGUAGUC
Molecule: ribosomal RNA, 465 nt
Filed under: Vreelandella stevensii
Lineage: Bacteria; Pseudomonadati; Pseudomonadota; Gammaproteobacteria; Oceanospirillales; Halomonadaceae
Description: partial 16S ribosomal RNA
Rfam family: Bacterial small subunit ribosomal RNA
Source: RNAcentral